Molecule: ribosomal RNA, 328 nt
Filed under: Rauia nodosa
Lineage: Eukaryota; Viridiplantae; Streptophyta; Magnoliopsida; Sapindales; Rutaceae
Description: eukaryotic LSU rRNA
Rfam family: Eukaryotic large subunit ribosomal RNA (bases 256-328)
Source: RNAcentral
UUGCGCCCAAGCCUCUAGGCCGAGGGCACGUCUGCCUGGGUGUCACGCAUCUUUGCCCCACCCCCUCCCUGCAUCCUUGUGCGGGCCGUGGCGGUGGGGCGGAUAUUGGCCUCCCGUGCGCUCUGAGCGCGCGGUUGGCCUAAAUACUAGUCCCCGGUAUUGGUGCCGCGACGAUCGGUGGUGUCGAAAGACCUCCUCAGAGCGCGUCGCGCGCCGUUCGGGACUCGAGGACCCUAGCGCCAUGCGCUCGCUUCGCGACCCCAGGUCAGGCGGGACUACCCGCUGAGUUUAAAGCNUAUCAAUAAGCGGAGGAAAAGAAACUACCAAG